UACGUAGGUGGCGAGCGUUGUCCGGAUUUACUGGGCGUAAAGGGAGCGUAGGCGGACUUUUAAGUGAGAUGUGAAAUACUCGGGCUCAACUUGGGUGCUGCAUUUCAAACUGGAAGUCUAGAGUGCAGGAGAGGAGAAUGGAAUUCCUAGUGUAGCGGUGAAAUGCGUAGAGAUUAGGAAGAACACCAGUGGCGAAGGCGAUUCUCUGGACUGUAACUGACGCUGAGGCUCGAAAGCGUGGGGAGCAAACAGG
RNAcentral lists this ribosomal RNA (253 nucleotides) under uncultured bacterium. Its description in RNAcentral is "partial 16S ribosomal RNA". It matches the Rfam family "Bacterial small subunit ribosomal RNA", at positions 524 to 776 of the family's 1533-position model. The record is from RNAcentral.